This 112-nucleotide ribosomal RNA is filed under the name Castor canadensis (American beaver). Lineage: Eukaryota; Metazoa; Chordata; Mammalia; Rodentia; Castoridae. The record is from RNAcentral.
AUCUACGGCCAUACCAACCCUGAACACGCACGAUCUCGUCAGAUCUCAGAAGCUGAGCAGGGUCGCGCCUGGUUGGUACUUGGAUGGGAGAGAAAGUAAAGUUUCACAGGAC